GCAUAUCAAUAAGCGGAGGAAAAGAAACCAACAGGGAUUGCCUUAGUAACGGCGAGUGAAGCGGCAAAAGCUCAAAUUUGAAAUCUAGCACUUUCAGUGUUCGAGUUGUAAUUUGAAGAAGGUAACUUUGGAAUUGGCUCUUGUCUAUGUUCCUUGGAACAGGACGUCACAGAGGGUGAGAAUCCCGUGCGAUGAGAUGUCCAAUUCUAUGUAAAGUGCUUUCGAAGAGUCGAGUUGUUUGGGAAUGCAGCUCUAAGUGGGUGGUAAAUUCCAUCUAAAGCUAAAUAUUGGCGAGAGACCGAUAGCGAACAAGUACAGUGAUGGAAAGAUGAAAAGAACUUUGAAAAGAGAGUGAAAAAGUACGUGAAAUUGUUGAAAGGGAAGGGCUUGAGAUCAGACUUGGUAUUUUGUGUUCCUUAUUCUUUUUGGAUUUGGUUCCUCACAGCUUACCGGGCCAGCAUCGGUUUGGAUGGUAGGAUAAUGACAUUGGAAUGUAGCUUUGCUUCGGUGAAGUGUUAUAGACUUUGUUGAUACUGCCUAUCUAGACCGAGGACUGCGUCUUGACUAG
This 568-nucleotide ribosomal RNA is filed under the name Dujonia oleophila. RNAcentral's name for it is "[Candida] oleophila partial large subunit ribosomal RNA". It matches the Rfam family "Eukaryotic large subunit ribosomal RNA", at positions 38 to 609 of the family's 3401-position model. The record is from RNAcentral. Lineage: Eukaryota; Fungi; Ascomycota; Pichiomycetes; Serinales; Debaryomycetaceae.